RNAcentral lists this small RNA (963 nucleotides) under uncultured bacterium. RNAcentral's name for it is "bacterial SSU rRNA". The stretch from base 1 to 649 matches the Rfam family "Bacterial small subunit ribosomal RNA", at positions 873 to 1533 of the family's 1533-position model. The record is from RNAcentral.
CUGGGGAGUACGCUCGCAAGAGUGAAACUCAAAGGAAUUGACGGGGGCCCGCACAAGCGGAGGAACAUGUGGUUUAAUUCGAUGAUACGCGAGGAACCUUACCUGGGCUUAAAUGUACGUCGACCGGUCUAGAGAUAGACCUUUCUUCGGACGACGUACAAGGUGCUGCAUGGUUGUCGUCAGCUCGUGCCGUGAGGUGUCGGGUUAAGUCCCAUAACGAGCGCAACCCCUAUCUUUAGUUGCUAACAGGUCAAGCUGAGGACUCUAGAGAGACUGCCACCGUAAGGUGAGAGGAAGGUGGGGAUGACGUCAAAUCAGCACGGCCCUUAUGUCCAGGGCUACACACGUGUUACAAUGGUCAGUACAAAGGGCAGCUACCUGGCGACAGGAUGCUAAUCUCUAAAACUGGUCUCAGUUCGGAUCGGAGUCUGCAACUCGACUCCGUGAAGCUGGAUUCGCUAGUAAUCGCGCAUCAGCCAUGGCGCGGUGAAUACGUUCCCGGGCCUUGUACACACCGCCCGUCAAACCAUGGAAGCUGGGGGUGCCUGAAGUCUGUUACCGAGAGGAGCGGCCUAGGGUAAAACUAGUGACUGGGGUUAAGUCGUAACAAGGUAGCCGUACCGGAAGGUGUGGCUGGAACACCUCCUUUCUGGAGCCGACAAAAACGGUAUUCAAGUUUUUCAAGAAACGAUUGUUUUUCUUGUCAUAUCAAAAAAACCUUAUAUACCCACAUGACCAAAGUGGAGAGCUUAAAGCUGAAAAUACUAAGGGUUAUGUAAUGCAAACAUAGUCCCGUAGCUCAGCUGGUUAGAGCGCUACACUGAUAAUGUAGAGGUCCCCAGUUCAAGUCUGGGCGGGACUACACUAGGUUGUAUGGGGGAUUAGCUCAGUUGGCUANAGCGCCUGCCUUGCACGCAGGAGGUCAUCGGUUCGACUCCGAUAUUCUCCCCAUAUUUAUACUGA